AAGGAUUUAAGUUAAAAAAACUUUUAACCUUCAAAGUUAACUAUAGAUUUAAUCUAAGCCUUA
Molecule: transfer RNA, 63 nt
Filed under: Xuthea yunnanensis
Lineage: Eukaryota; Metazoa; Arthropoda; Insecta; Coleoptera; Chrysomelidae
Description: tRNA-Trp
Source: RNAcentral